This 496-nucleotide ribosomal RNA is filed under the name uncultured bacterium. Its description in RNAcentral is "partial 16S ribosomal RNA". It matches the Rfam family "Bacterial small subunit ribosomal RNA", at positions 29 to 507 of the family's 1533-position model. The record is from RNAcentral.
AUGAACGCUGGCGGCGUGCCUAAUACAUGCAAGUCGAGCGAACAGACGAGGAGCUUGCUCCUCUGACGUUAGCGGCGGACGGGUGAGUAACACGUGGAUAACCUACCUAUAAGACUGGGAUAACUUCGGGAAACCGGAGCUAAUACCGGAUAAUAUAUUGAACCGCAUGGUUCAAUAGUGAAAGACGGUUUUGCUGUCACUUAUAGAUGGAUCCGCGCCGCAUUAGCUAGUUGCUAAGGUAACGGCUUACCAAGGCAACGAUGCGUAGCCGACCUGAGAGGGUGAUCGGCCACACUGGAACUGAGACACGGUCCAGACUCCUACGGGAGGCAGCAGUAGGGAAUCUUCCGCAAUGGGCGAAAGCCUGACGGAGCAACGCCGCGUGAGUGAUGAAGGUCUUCGGAUCGUAAAACUCUGUUAUUAGGGAAGAACAAAUGUGUAAGUAACUAUGCACGUCUUGACGGUACCUAAUCAGAAAGCCACGGCUAACUACGUG